This 1322-nucleotide long non-coding RNA is filed under the name Phoenix dactylifera (date palm). RNAcentral's name for it is "long non-coding RNA (PDAC_LNC010750)". Lineage: Eukaryota; Viridiplantae; Streptophyta; Magnoliopsida; Arecales; Arecaceae. The record is from RNAcentral.
CCGAAGAAGGGAGAGGGGCGCACGAAAAGAGGCGGAAGCCUCUGGAACCACCUGGAAAGGACCCUUAACGGGUCUGCCUAGCGGGUCGGAUCCAAGUCCGGAUCCGAAACCCGUUAGGCCUAAAUCCUUUAAUUCGAUUUGGGUGAGUCCGAUGAAGGAUUGAUUCAAGCCCAAUCGAGUUAAAUGGGUUAAAUUAAGCCCAAUUGAGCUAGGCCUGAACCCCCAUUUAUGCAAUAGUAAUCCCAGCAGGCCCAAUUAAUUGUAAAUCAGGCCCAGUCCAAGCUAAUUAAAUUGGCAGAGGGCCUAAUUGGCUGAAAGAGGCUGGACUUAGUUUUAAAUCAGGCCCAACCCUGUCAUUAAAAAAAAANNNNNNNNNNNNNNNNNNNNNNAAAUGGCUUUAAAUGAACACCAAAGGCUUCAAAUUGGCUAAAUUAAAAUGGGCUAAGAUCCUUGGUUGGGACCCAAGCAAGUCCAUGAUAAGAUGAACCAAAUUCUAUAAUAAAUAGAGAAUAAUAUGAUUCCUAUAAUGUGGUUUUAGGAAUCAACGAUUUGCCACCAAGACUUUGGAUAACGAAUUUGCUGUAAGUAAUCUGUCUUAAUCUUAUCGUAGAUCUUGUAUUACGUUUUAUAAGAUGAACCAGUGUUUUUCAUACAAUUUGAAUUGUAUACAUGAUUUGUGAAGAAAGUAAGUAACCUGUCCUAAUCCUGUUAUGGAUCAUGUCAUGUUAUUAAUGUUUCCUAAGCAUUUAUUUUAAGUAUAUAUGUUUCAUGCAUGAUAUGUUACAAUGCAUAAGUAACUUGCAUGAUCCCAGAAGCUAUGGCUAUGUAUGCAACAUGAUGAUACUGAUAUUUUAAUCAUGCAUGUAAGUUUAUAAAGUCUUAGCUAGCCCAGAGGCACUAUAAUGGGUUCAAAGAUGCUACUGAGAAUGACUGAGCCGCCAAUGGCUGAAUAGUAACUGGGCCUGCCCCGCCAGUGGCUGAAUAGUAACUGGGCCUGCCCCGCCAGUGGCUGAAUAGUAACUGAGCUGGCCCCGCCAGUGGUCGAGUCUGACUUCGCAGUAGCAUCCGAGAGAAUGGACCACGGCAUGCCGGGGGGCACGGUUUCAUAUGCAUAUAUUAUAAAAAAUUUUGUGAUUUGCACUACUGCUUUGUUUAAAUUGCUUACAUGUUAUGCCAUGAUGAUUAUUAGAUAAACAUGCAUGUCAGCUUCUCAAAACCUGAUUUACAUGUUUAGCCUACUGGUUGAUCCGGUAGGAUUAUGCAGGAUUACUUACUGAGCCGUGUAGCUCACAUCUGUUUAUGCUUCGUUUUCUUUCAGAUCC